UAUUUUAAGCGGAGUCUCAUCGCUUGUUCUCGCUGCUUUUAUUCCUUUCACAUCUGGUCCUUGUUCUGCUCGGCUGGCUGUUUCUCGCCGGUAAAGUCAGGCCAAAAGUGUCAACAAUAUGAGGGCGCCGAAGAGCUGAUGCUGUCUUCUAAUAUGAAUCUCAGACAGAGCACGAAAGAAGUACUCAAGGAGCUGGGUGUAGCGGCACACACCGAUAAUCGUAGCUGCUUGCGGCUAAGUUUGAGGGAGAUGUGCUGGACACCACAGGACAAAGAACAUGGUGGUUCUAAUCAACGGCCCAGAGUCAGAUGGCAGAAGUUCACAUCCCCUUUCCUGUCAUUCCCAGCUGGGCUGUCCUGGUCUCCACACCCUGCCCCCACUACACCCUCAUCUCCAAGGACUGGACUUUCUCAUCAGUAAAGUCGGAGGGGAACAGUGCCCCGACUCAGAGUCUGAGCAUUACAUGACACAGGCAAAGAAAAGUCUGAGAGUGACACCUGGCAAACAAAAAGCUCAGCAUCCGCUGGGUACCAACAACCAACACUGCAGCAUUGUGUUUGUUCUGGUAACUAGUGUUUUCUUCACCUCUCGUGAUUCCUAACAGUUUCUCAUCACCUCUGGGCUCUUCACCCAAUAAAUCAAUGGAAAAGGAGAACAAGUCCAAACUAGGACAAAGCCAUCAAUGAAAGCGCUAAAUUUACUUUCAGAAAUCUCUAGGAGGAAAAACAAAGCAGGAGGCAAGACACUCAUCUGCAGAAAACCGGCUCUGUAAAGUCAGGGGAGGAUUUGUGUUUCCAAAGGGCUAGCAAGUUGAGACAUUGCUGUAAAACACAGGGGGAAGAAGCCUGCUUAGAGUGUGAACAGUUUCCCUCUGUGCAACAGGAAGAGAGCAAACUCUCUGGGAUGAGGAGCCAAGGAUGGAAAAGACGGGAGGGAGCAGAGGCAUUAGAACCAGUACAACAGCUACUUCCUGUCCCACCCUGUGCACACCUCACCACCAGCAUCUUAAUCCCAGAGAGCAGAGGUAUUACAACCGCAAGCACGUCUGUGCACCCACAAGUACUGGAGUCUUGUGCCCCAUUCCCGUAGGAAGCUCUAGGAAAAGAUAGCUUCGCAUAGACCCUGUGAUAACAAGAGCCACAGCGGAGAGAAAGGGCACCCUUUUCCGGAGAUUAGACACAGUGAAUGGGAGUGAGGGUGUCCACAUCCUGGUGAAAUGAUGUGUGGGCCCCAGUGACACUUAAAUAAGUUUAAAUCCAAACCAGAAGUGAUUGGAUUGUUGACUUGGAAAGGGCUUGCUUGCUCGCUCUUUCUUUCUUUCUUUCUUCCUUUCUUCCUUUCUUUCAUUCAUUCUUUCUUUCUU
This is a long non-coding RNA of Chinchilla lanigera (long-tailed chinchilla), 1363 nucleotides long. RefSeq lists it as uncharacterized. The transcript has 3 exons. The record is from RefSeq and is a predicted model, not a curated record. NCBI's taxonomy places the organism in Eukaryota, Metazoa, Chordata, Mammalia, Rodentia, Chinchillidae.